RNAcentral lists this long non-coding RNA (4875 nucleotides) under Sus scrofa (pig). Its description in RNAcentral is "lncRNA (ENSSSCG00045023767.1)". Lineage: Eukaryota; Metazoa; Chordata; Mammalia; Artiodactyla; Suidae. The record is from RNAcentral.
GCAUAUGUAAGUUCCCAAGCAAGGGGUCAAAUUGGAGCUGCAACUGCCAGCCUGCACCAGAGCCACAGCAACGCCAGAUCUGAGCCCCAUCUGCAACCUGUGCCGCAGCUCGCAGCAACACAGGAUCCUUAACACACUGAGCAAGGCCAAGCAUUGAACCCAAAUCCUCGUAGUUACCAAUCGGGUUCGUUAUUGCUGAGCUACAAUGAUAACUCCUCCUUACCUAUUAUUUUAUUGGGUCCUGACACUGUGCCUAUCUACUUCAUCCAGGCACUAACUGGGAAUCUUUUACCAAAAUUUAGACCAUGUCACUGCUUUCAUUUGUACCCAGGAGGGCUCUUGCUACCAUGUUGCAUCAACUGUAUAACAUGUCCCCUUAAAUAUCAAUGCCUAGAUCACAUCACCAUAUUUGAUUGGCCCUAAAUAUUAAUGCUUCCUAGAGUGCACCACCAUGUUUCAUUGGAAUUUAUUUAUUGUACUGUUGCUUUCCUUUAUUACACACCAACCCACCUCUGAUAUCCUAGAUUGCUUUACAAGCAUAGGUUAGUAACACUUCCCUUUUACUCUUCCUUCAUCACCUCCUAAUCUUCCUCCUCCGAGAAGAAGAACAGAGGGUGAUAGGAAGCAGUGUGCACAGGACUGAAAUAAGCCAGAAUUUCAACUAUCAAAUUGAAAGACAGUGAAAGUGCCAUUGGCUUUUAAUGGAGAGGAGAGAGGCUAUGUUCUUGUCUCAUAACACAGACCCCCAUAUGGAGAUCCCAAAGCAUUAAAUGAUAUAAGAGUAUGGAUUAAACAUGGUAAAUUUAUAGAGGCAAGGAAUCCUGGUUAAAAAUUGUUUUUCUAGGAAAAAAGAAUAUAAGCGAUCCUAAUUUAUGGAACCAGAAUAUAUUUAUUUACGGGUAUGUUGGUAGACAACCGAGCCCACACCCAUUUUAUAAUAAUAGAUCAGUCAUGGGCAGGAUAAUUACCUUCAAAAGUAGUCUAAAAGUACUAAUGCUAAGGAAAGCAUGAGUAAUUCUCCAAGUCAUUAUUGUUUAAGAGUGGUGUAUAAUUUUCUAUCAGGUACAGUUAAAGGAAGAAUUACUAAUUUAAUGCCUGAUACAUUACAUUUCAGAAAAUAAACAUUGGAAGGAAAGUAGCAAAAUAGAAGUUUGGUCUUAAGUGUAAAACUGGGUUCAAGUGCUGGUUCUUAGAAAUACCAUGAACCAGGCUUUUGUUCUCAAAGAACUUCAGUUUUUAUAUCUGUAAAAUGGACUGUUAAAGCCUGUCCUAUCGAUCUCAGAGAUUAUUUUGAAGAACACGAUAAACCUUAAACUUCCAUUCAGAAGGUAGUUAUUUUGUCUGUUAUUAUAGUCCUUUGGACAGGCACAGUGUCUCAUAAUCAGGUUAACAUAAUGUUUUUGACAUGUAGAUGGUCAUUAAGUGUUUUAAAUUCAUUUCGAACACAGGAGAUUUGAAGAUCAGCUUUUGAGGCUAGAGUUUUGGGCAGAGGCCAGGAUAAUUAAGCUGCCAGCUACAAAGUACUACAGCAAGUGCCAGAAACACUACUUAUUUUUUUGUAUGGGAAAAUAUUUUUGCCAAAUGAAAUCUUUGGGGUUUUUAUAGUUCUUUCCCAUAUGUCUCUAUGAAAAUGUUAUUUUUCAUAUCUCACUUCUGAAUGGGGCUGUCAGGAUAACAAGUAUCAACUGCUUUCCAGGUCUGGAAAAUUGAUCCAGUUAAACAAUUUAAGAAUGAGGAAUAUCUUGAGGGAAUCCUAUGAGUUAUAUCUUGAGGAUAUGAACAGCGCGGAUUAAUAUAAGUGCAGGUGUUCAGCCUCCAGUCUAUAGUAGGCACUCCAGGUCUGCUUCUGCAUAGACAGGUCCCAGAUGAACAUUUUUGAAAUGGCAUCAGCACCUUCUAGGAAAAAUAAUUGGGAAAAUAUUUAACAACCAGUCAUGUUAAAACUGAUUUGGAAAUGCCAUUUUCACGCUUAGUCAUCCCUACCCCAGGGUCAAAGCAGGAAUAAAAAAAGAGCGGGAGGUUUGUUAACUAUAAUAUCGUGAAAUUCCAAACAAUUAGAAUUGAAUAUGGUCUGGGGAGGAAUUAGAGUUCUGAUCUGAUAGGUACGACUCCCUGUUUUUGCUAAGACUGACAGAAACAUUUUCCUGUUCUUACAUUGUCAUCCUGUGGGCUAGCAGAGACUCUGAGAGAUUGAAAUGUUGGAAUAGGCCUGAGUUUCUGAGAAAUAUUAUGAAACUUUUAAUAAAUGAAAAUUCCUGGAAGUUAUAUAAUUGGACUUUGUAAUUUGAUAGGAAAUAUCCUCAAGGGAUUCAGGCUUGCAAAAUGAUAAUGUUUUAAAGGAAAAUUGAUGGCACUUAACUGCAAACAGUUAUAACUGUUUUGAGUUCAUAUCUCCCAUGUUUGAGACACUAUACUACAUCACUUUCUUCUGACUAAGGAGUUUGGGGUAUUAUGCAGAUAGAAAACUAUUUCCCUCAUGAUAUUUGUCACUCAACUUCUGUGUAUCCAUGCCAGCCAAGAAGGUUUUGCUAGGUUUAAAUUUCUGUAGUUUGCAUUAUGAAAACCACAGGUUUAUUGAAUUAAAAUGUGUAUACUACCUGCCUGUCCACCUUGAAAUAGUCCUGAGCUAUGGGAUGCCAUUAAAAAUUUUAAGCAGAGAUGUGACAUUGUCAGCAUUGCUGUGGUGAGGAUUGGAAGAGAACAAAGCUGGAAGUAGAAGGUAUGUUAGGAUAUAGCAGUGGUGCAAAUUACAGAUCAUGAUAGUUUAAGGCAGAUAUGUGAAGAGACAGAUGUAUUAAUAGGUAUUUAGGAAUUAGAAUGGGUAGGAGGUUACAACUAGAAUGGUCAGGUGAGGAAGAAGAAUAAAUCAAUAAUAAUACCUAGGUUUCUGAUUUUGGAAACUUGAUGAAUGAAGGUACCAGUAACUGAAAGGAUGGAAAUGUGCUUAUUUUGGAAAAGGAAAAACGAUGAUGUAUACAGAUUUGUGCAUUUUGUGCUGGUUAGUGGAACUUGUACAUUUCAGUGUAAGUGGGAAGGGAGAUUUAAAGUUAUGGUAGGAGUUCCCGUCGUGGCGCAGUGGUUAACGAAUCCGACUAGGAACCAUGAGGUUGCGGGUUCGGUCCCUGCCCUUGCUCAGUGGGUUAACGAUCCGGCGUUGCCGUGAGCUGUGGUGUAGGUUGCAGACACGGCUCGGAUCCCGCGCGUUGCUGUGGCUCUGGCGUAGGCCGGUGGCUACAGCUCCGAUUCAACCCCUAGCCUGGGAACCUCCAUAUGCCGAGGGAGCGGCCAAAUAAGUAAAGUGAUCUUCAUCUCCUGAUAUCAGGCUUUCUGUAAGACUCUCCUUGAGUAAUUUGCUUCUGACCAAUAGAAUAUAGGAACAUUGAGGAGAUAUCUCUCCCAUGAUUAGAUUAAAAGAUUGUGAAUUCCCUCUUGCUAUCACAGCUUGCACACUUGAUGAUCAAGCCAUCAUAUUGGAGAGGCCGGUAUAGUAAGUAGGGCACUGAGGGUGUCCUCUCAGCCAGCAAGGAAUUGAGGCCUUAAUCCAAGAACCUGCAAGGAACUGAAUACUGCCUACAAUCUUUAAGUGAGACUUCCCCAGUCACAUAAGGCUUCAACCCACAGGCUGACACCUAAUUGCAGCCUUGUGAGAAGCCGUGAAGCACAGAAUUCAGUGAAACUGCACCUGUAUUCCACCACAACAAUGAUAAGAUAUAAAUGCAUGUUGGUUUAAAGUGUCAAGUCUUUGUACAGUGUGAUAUGCCACAAUAAGUAGCUAAUACAUGAGCUCUGGAAAUGGAGGCUAGAUUUGGGAUCCACCAGCAUAUAAAAAAUAUAUGUUGACUGUGACAAAGCUCAACUUGAGAUAUGUGUAGUGAUGAGAAACAGGGAUUGUACAGAAGCUAGAGAAAUUAGAAAAUCAAGGAGUGGGUGGAGGACCAGAAGGCUGAAAAGGGCACUACAAAGAAACAGAGUUCUGAACUCUGAGCAUUGCAAGGUUAAGGGAGGCAUGAUCAAAUAUCAAAUGCUGAGCUAAAGAAAAACAGCUUUUGGUAACACAGUGUUUCUGCUUAACCUUGAUGUGGACAGUUUCAAGAAAGUAAGGCAGAUUUCAUUAGAUUAAGGAGAAAACACAAAGAAGGCAAAAAAAGCUGCCUACAAGAAGCUUAUCUCUUGAAAGAAGGAAAGAAUAAUGUAAUAUUUGCUCUAGGAUUAAAAGUUGAUGGCUUUUUUAUGAGGGGAAGAAGAAUUGAGCAUAUUUAUGUGAGAGCUUCUUGGUGAUGAAAAUUUUGAUUAGAUUUUCUGUUAUUUGUAACAUAGCUGUUGUAACAAACCAAUAAAGGAGAUAAAUUUAGCUAUUCAUAACCCUCCUGACCUUUUGAAGGUGCUCACAUGUCCAUUCGCAUUUUAUGUAACAAAACAUAGUAUUAUUUUUCUACAUAUACCAUAAACAUUUCUUAAUAUUGUUAUAUUGGUGGCAUAGCUAUUUUUUAUAUUGUAUAAUAUACUGUCAACUUGUGUACUAUAAAUGAUAUAUCUCCUAUUUCUUGGGGCUCUAGGUUGUUUCCAACUUUUUGUAACUAUAAAUAAUGCUAUGAUUAAUUGUGCAAAAUUGUUUCAAAACAAAAACAGAUUGGCUCCCCCUAAGAGAGCCUCUCUGGAUGCUUGCCAAAGCCUGAACUCUUCAUGUUAAAGGGCUCUGAACUGAAUUCAAUAAAAAUGUAUGCGAAAACUGCAGGAGCUCUUCCUUUUUGAAUUUUUUUUUAUUAUCCUAAACUUCAAAAGCCCAACAGUUGGGCAGUUCAAAUGUAUAGAAAGAGAUCUUUGAGUGCCUAAAUCGAAUUUAAACUUUCUGGGAACUCAGAUGUGUUCUGUGAA